CCUACGGGUGGCAGCAGUGGGGAAUAUUGCACAAUGGGCGAAAGCCUGAUGCAGCAACGCCGCGUGAGCGAUGAAGGCUUUCGGGUCGUAAAGCUCUGUCCUCAAGGAAGAUAAUGAUGGUACUUGAGGAGGAAGCCCCGGCUAACUACGUCCCAGCAGCCGCGGUAAUACGAAGGGGGCUAGCGUAAUCCGGAAUUAGUGGGCGUAAAGGUGGCGGAGGUGGUUUCUAAUGUCAGAGGUGAAAGGCUACGGCUAAACCGUGGUAAGCCUUUGAAACUGGGAAACUUGAGUGCAGGAGAGGAGAGUGGAAUUCCUAGUGUAGCGGUGAAAUGCGUAGAUAUUAGGAGGAACACCAGUUGCGAAGGCGGCUCUCUGGACUGUAACUGACGCUGAGGCACGAAGGCGUGGGGAGCAAACAGGAUUAGAUACCCUAGUAGUC
RNAcentral lists this ribosomal RNA (439 nucleotides) under uncultured bacterium. RNAcentral's name for it is "partial 16S ribosomal RNA". It matches the Rfam family "Bacterial small subunit ribosomal RNA", at positions 338 to 795 of the family's 1533-position model. The record is from RNAcentral.